GGCUGGUCCGAGUGCCCUGGUGUUUACAAUGAAUUGAUCACAACCAGUUACAGAUUCCUUUGUCCCUUCUCUACUCGCACUGUUUCACUUGACUAGUCUUAA
Otolemur garnettii (small-eared galago) is the source of this 102-nucleotide unclassified non-coding RNA. It matches the Rfam family "Y RNA". From Rfam's summary of the family: Y RNAs are components of the Ro ribonucleoprotein particle (Ro RNP), in association with Ro60 and La proteins. The Y RNAs and Ro60 and La proteins are well conserved, but the function of the Ro RNP is not known. The record is from Ensembl. Lineage: Eukaryota; Metazoa; Chordata; Mammalia; Primates; Galagidae.